AUUGAACGCUGGCGGCAGGCCUAACACAUGCAAGUCGAGCGGAUGAAGGGAGCUUGCUCCUGGAUUCAGCGGCGGACGGGUGAGUAAUGCCUAGGAAUCUGCCUGGUAGUGGGGGAUAACGUCCGGAAACGGGCGCUAAUACCGCAUACGUCCUGAGGGAGAAAGUGGGGGAUCUUCGGACCUCAUGCUAUCAGAUGAGCCUAGGUCGGAUUAGCUAGUUGGUGGGGUAAAGGCCUACCAAGGCGACGAUCCGCAACUGGUCUGAGAGGAUGAUCAGUCACACGGGAACUGAGACACGGUCCAGACUCCUACGGGAGGCAGCAGUGGGGAAUAUUGGACAAUGGGCGAAAGCCUGAUCCAGCCAUGCCGCGUGUGUGAAGAAGGUCUUCGGAUUGUAAAGCACUUUAAGUUGGGAGGAAGGGCAGUAAGUUAAUACCUUGCUGUUUUGACGUUACCAACAGAAUAAGCACCGGCUAACUUCGU
Molecule: ribosomal RNA, 483 nt
Filed under: uncultured bacterium
Lineage: Bacteria
Description: partial 16S ribosomal RNA
Rfam family: Bacterial small subunit ribosomal RNA
Source: RNAcentral